AGCGAACGCUGGCGGCAGGCCUAACACAUGCAAGUCGAACGGAUCCUUCGGGAUUAGUGGCGGACGGGUGAGUAACACGUGGGAACGUGCCCUUUGGUUCGGAACAACUCAGGGAAACUUGAGCUAAUACCGGAUGUGCCCUUCGGGGGAAAGAUUUAUCGCCAUUGGAGCGGCCCGCGUCUGAUUAGCUAGUUGAUGAGGUAACGGCCCACCAAGGCGACGAUCAGUAGCUGGUCUGAGAGGAUGAUCAGCCACACUGGGACUGAGACACGGCCCAGACUCCUACGGGAGGCAGCAGUGGGGAAUCUUGCGCAAUGGGCGAAAGCCUGACGCAGCCAUGCCGCGUGAAUGAUGAAGGUCUUAGGAUUGUAAAAUUCUUUCAGCGGGGACGAUAAUGACGGUACCCGCAGAAGAAGCUCCGGCUAACUUCGUG
RNAcentral lists this ribosomal RNA (433 nucleotides) under uncultured bacterium. Its description in RNAcentral is "partial 16S ribosomal RNA". It matches the Rfam family "Bacterial small subunit ribosomal RNA", at positions 29 to 507 of the family's 1533-position model. The record is from RNAcentral.